RNAcentral lists this ribosomal RNA (253 nucleotides) under uncultured bacterium. Its description in RNAcentral is "partial 16S ribosomal RNA". It matches the Rfam family "Bacterial small subunit ribosomal RNA", at positions 524 to 776 of the family's 1533-position model. The record is from RNAcentral.
UACGGGGGGGGCAAGCGUUGUUCGGAAUUACUGGGCGUAAAGGGCGCGUAGGCGGCCUUCUAAGUCGGACGUGAAAUCCCUCGGCUCAACCGAGGAACUGCGUCUGAUACUGGAAGGCUUGAAUCCGGGAGAGGGAUGUGGAAUUCCAGGUGUAGCGGUGAAAUGCGUAGAUAUCUGGAGGAACACCGGUGGCGAAGGCGGCAUCCUGGACCGACACUGACACUGAGGAGCGAAAGCCAGGGGAGCAAACGGG